Molecule: small nuclear RNA, 21 nt
Filed under: Arabidopsis thaliana (thale cress)
Lineage: Eukaryota; Viridiplantae; Streptophyta; Magnoliopsida; Brassicales; Brassicaceae
Description: snRNA_02247
Source: RNAcentral
CUUGCACAUGGGUUAGUCGAU